Molecule: unclassified non-coding RNA, 359 nt
Filed under: fungal sp.
Lineage: Eukaryota; Fungi
Description: partial internal transcribed spacer region
Rfam family: Eukaryotic small subunit ribosomal RNA (bases 1-46)
Source: RNAcentral
AAGUCGUAACAAGGUUUCCGUAGGUGAACCUGCGGAAGGAUCAUUAACACGUAUCCAACGUAAAACCCCCCUGUGAAGGUUGUUGAGAUCCUUAGUCAAUGACACUUUCACUGACUGCUUCGGGAUGCCAUGCAGCUAUCUCCGCUCAUAUCCUAACUGUAACUUCUCAUUUGUCAGAGGUCCCGAAUCAAUACUGUUCAACAAUGAUUUACCUUCUACGAUUAGGGUCGCUCACCGACCAGCAGACAUGCAACCGGGUCCCCAUGCCCCUUUACAACCCCAAUAACUCUGUGACUCCACGGGAAACCAGUGGGGUAAAAAAACUCGAACAACUGUUAACAAUGGAUAUCUUGGUUCUC